UACAGGGGGUGCAAACAUUGCUCGGAAUUAUUGGGCGUAAAGCGCGCGUAGGCGGUCUUGUAAGUCGGAUGUGAAAUCCCUCGGCUUAACCAAGGAAGUGCAUCCGAAACUGCAGAGCUUGAGUACUUAAGAGGAUCGCGGAAUUCCCGGUGUAGAGGUGAAAUUCGUAGAUAUCUGGAGGAACACCGGUGGCGAAGGCGGCGUCCUGGACCAGAACUGACGAUCAGGCUCGAAAGCGUGGGGAGCAAACAGG
This 253-nucleotide ribosomal RNA is filed under the name uncultured bacterium. Its description in RNAcentral is "partial 16S ribosomal RNA". It matches the Rfam family "Bacterial small subunit ribosomal RNA", at positions 524 to 776 of the family's 1533-position model. The record is from RNAcentral.